Molecule: ribosomal RNA, 810 nt
Filed under: Remansus sahondrae
Lineage: Eukaryota; Metazoa; Arthropoda; Insecta; Coleoptera; Curculionidae
Description: eukaryotic LSU rRNA
Rfam family: Eukaryotic large subunit ribosomal RNA
Source: RNAcentral
CGUUUAGGGGUAAACCUGAGAAACCCGAAAGAUCGAAGGAAGAAAUUCAUUCGUGUAUCGAUACAAGCAAUUUUGGUUUGUAUGACUAGCGCAUGCAGUUAUCUGCGCGGGCAUCUGCCAUUUUUGGAAAUUGUAACGAACACGUGCACUUUUCUUCUGGUAGAACGUCGCGAUCCGUUGGGUGCUGGUCUACGAGAUCCAGUGGAGAUCAAGCGUUACACGUAUUUUCGUGGACACGUUUGAACCUGUGAUUCUUUCUGACCGGCUCGCUUGACGGUAUACGAACGGUUUAGGGCCGCUCUUGGAGCGUUCGUCUCUUGACAAGCGCGCUAGCUGUGUUGAAGAUCUCGGCCUUCGGGCUGGUCCCAAUCACUAGCGACUGUUGGUCAAGAUGUUCUCGAACAGACCCUAAAGAGUGGUAUUUAAAUACAAAAACCGAUCUGCGACGCUAUAGCUUUGGGUACUUUCAGGACCCGUCUUGAAACACGGACCAAGGAGUCUAGCAUGUACGCGAGUCAUUAGGAAUUACUAAACCUAAAGGCGCAAUAAAAGUAAAGCUCUUCCUUGCGAGGAACUAGGGAAGACGAUGGGUGUUCAGCUUUUUUAGCGGCCCGUCUGCAUUCCCGGGGCGUCUCAUUCUCAUCGCGAGAAGAGGCGCACCAAGAGCGUACACGCUGGGACCCGAAAGAUGGUGAACUAUGCCUGGUCAGGAUGAAGUCAGGGGAAACCCUGAUGGAGGUCCGUAGCGAUUCUGACGUGCAAAUCGAUCGUCGGAACUGGGUAUAGGGGCGAAAGACUAAUCGAACCAUC